GUGUGUGUGUGUGUGUGUGUGUGUGUGUGUGUGUUAUAUAUAUAUAUAUAUAUAUAUAUAUACACGCACACACACACACAUACGCAUAA
Molecule: microRNA precursor, 89 nt
Filed under: Podarcis lilfordi (Lilford's wall lizard)
Lineage: Eukaryota; Metazoa; Chordata; Lepidosauria; Squamata; Lacertidae
Source: RNAcentral